RNAcentral lists this long non-coding RNA (648 nucleotides) under Phoenix dactylifera (date palm). RNAcentral's name for it is "long non-coding RNA (PDAC_LNC020001)". The record is from RNAcentral. Lineage: Eukaryota; Viridiplantae; Streptophyta; Magnoliopsida; Arecales; Arecaceae.
UCAAUAAGACCCUUGACUAAUUUUGUGCUCGUUAGAUUGUCCAAUAUGCAAAGUUUAGGGAUAUAUGGGUGAUUAAUUUUAUUUUUUAGGGAUCUGUAUAUAAAUAUGAUACAUCAGUGUUUAUGUACAAAUUCACUUUAAGUAAGACGGGAAGUGGGCCCGGGUCAGUCCGACUUCGGGUCGGGCUAUGGGCUAUGCCCAAGAAAUUGGGAUCAGAUUCAGGUUCAAAAUUAGGGCCCGAAUAUAUUUCGGGCCGGCUCCGGUAGUUGUGUUGGCCUGUUUGAGUCUGCAAAUCGAGCCCGGACAGGCCCGGAUCCGGCCCGAUAUCUGGGCCGAUGUUUGGCCCGGAAAAUUGAGGUAAGUGGUCUGAUCAGACCAACUGAUGCAGGGGUCGAAAUCCUGACCGCUGGUUCGCCGGGCUCUUCUUCUCUCGAAGAGCCCCGAUCCUAAUCAAAAUCAACAGUCAAACCCUUCAACCAACAGAAAAAGAAAUCAUCGAUCAGCGGCUAGGGUUCUCGACUUCUCGUCUCUCCGCCUCCACCGCCUCUUCGAUCCCUGAACCUCGUCGCUCAUCGCCGGUCGGCGGUCCAAGCCGAAGGCGAGCCUCCUAUCGUCGGCCGACUGUGGUUCCAUUGAGGUAUCAUGUUC